AUUGAACGCUGGCGGCAGGCCUAACACAUGCAAGUCGAGCGGAUGAAGGGAGCUUGCUCCUGGAUUCAGCUGCGGACGGGUGAGUAAUGCCUAGGAAUCUGCCUUGUCGUGGGGGAUAACGUCCGGAAACGGGCGCUAAUCUCGCAUACGUCCUGAGUGAGAACGUGGGGGAUCUUCGGACCUCGCGCUAUCAGCUGAGCCUAGGUCGGAUUAGCUAGUUGGUGAGGUAAAGGCCUACCAAGGCGACGAUCCGUAACUGGUCUGAGAGGAUGAUCAGUCACACUGGAACUGAGACACGGUCCAGACUCCUACGGGAGGCAGCAGCGGGGAAUAUUGGACAAUGGGCGAAAGCCUGAUCGAGCCAUGCCGCGUGUGUGAAGAAGGUCUUCGGAUUGUAAAGCACUUUAAGUUGGGAGGAAGGGCAGUAAGUUAAUACCUUGCUGUUUUGACGGUACCAACAGAAUAAGCACCGGCUAACUUCGUG
Molecule: ribosomal RNA, 484 nt
Filed under: uncultured bacterium
Lineage: Bacteria
Description: partial 16S ribosomal RNA
Rfam family: Bacterial small subunit ribosomal RNA
Source: RNAcentral